GGGGAAUAUUGCGCAAUGGGGGAAACCCUGACGCAGCGACGCCGCGUGAGCGAUGAAGGCUUUCGGGUCGUAAAGCUCUGUUCUAAGGGACGAAGUCCUUACUUGUAAAUAAUGAGUAGGGGUGACGGUACCUUAGGAGAAAGCCCCGGCUAACUACGUGCCAGCAGCCGCGGUAAAACGUAGGGGGCGAGCGUUGUCCGGAAUUACUGGGCGUAAAGAGCGUGUAGGCGGGUGCUUAAGUCAGGUGUGAAAGACCGGGGCUCAACUCCGGGGUUGCACUUGAAACUGGGUAUCUUGAGGGCAGGAGAGGAAAGCGGAAUUCCUGGUGUAGCGGUGAAAUGCGUAGAUAUCAGGAGGAACACCGGUGGCGAAGGCGGCUUUCUGGACUGACCCUGACGCUGAGACGCGAAAGCGUGGGGAGCAAAC
RNAcentral lists this ribosomal RNA (426 nucleotides) under uncultured bacterium. RNAcentral describes it as "bacterial SSU rRNA". It matches the Rfam family "Bacterial small subunit ribosomal RNA", at positions 356 to 773 of the family's 1533-position model. The record is from RNAcentral.